RNAcentral lists this ribosomal RNA (454 nucleotides) under uncultured bacterium. RNAcentral describes it as "bacterial SSU rRNA". It matches the Rfam family "Bacterial small subunit ribosomal RNA", at positions 340 to 786 of the family's 1533-position model. The record is from RNAcentral.
UACGGAAGGCAGCAGUGGGGAAUAUUGCACAAUGGGCGCAAGCCUGAUGCAGCCAUGCCGCGUGUAUGAAGAAGGCCUUCGGGUUGUAAAGUACUUUCAGCGGGGAGGAAGGCGAUGCGGUUAAUAACCGCGUCGAUUGACGUUACCCGCAGAAGAAGCACCGGCUAACUCCGUGCCAGCAGCCGCGGUAAUACGGAGGGUGCAAGCGUUAAUCGGAAUUACUGGGCGUAAAGCGCACGCAGGCGGUCUGUUAAGUCAGAUGUGAAAUCCCCGGGCUUAACCUGGGAACUGCAUUUUGAACUGGCAGGCUUGAGUCUUGUAGAGGGGGUAGAAUUCCAGGUGUAGCGGUGAAAUGCGUAGAGAUCUGGAGGAAUACCGGUGGCGAAGGCGGCCCCUGGGACAAGACUGACGCUCAGGUGCGAAAGCGUGGGGAGCAAACAGGGAUUAGGAUACC